UUUUUGAAAAAAAGAAAAGAAAAUGAAAAAGAAUGCUCAUAUAAUAACACUAUUUGCAUAUGCAAACUUAAAACAUGGUAAACCUAGAGGUGAUUUGUUCUUUGACACUUUUGAUUGAAGCACCUUCCUUCGUAAUGUGGUAGGUAGGGUUGAGCAUAAAAUUCGAAAAACCGUAUACACCGACCUUCCGAACACCGAAAAAAUCAAAACCGAUUAAACCGAACACCGAAAAAAUCGCUAACAGUGCAAACCGCCACUGUUCGGUCGGUUUGAAAAUUUUGUCCGGACUGACUGGCGAAAUCGAAACCAACCGAACAAUAUAAUAUAUAAUAAUAUAAUAAUAUAAUAUUAUAUAAUUAUUAAUUAUUAAAAUUAUUAAAUAAAAAUAAAAAAAUAUGAAAUUAUAUUCUAUAUAUUUAUGUUUUAAAAAUGCACAAAAAUAGAUUCCAACAAUUCAAAAAUUUUAGUUUUUUAACUAAAACUUAAAAAAAAAAAAAAAAUCGGUUUGGUCGGUUUAACUGACCAAACCGCGGUCCAAAACGGUCGGUUUUUUCUUUUAACUAGUUUAGUCGGUCGGUUUUUGAAUUGCAUAAAUCCGGACCGAAAACUGAAUUCUGAAUUUUAUGUUAUGAAAAAACCGCCCAAACCGAUCGAUGCUCACAACUUAUUAGAAUUUUAAUAAUAAACAUAUGUAAAUUUUCUUUUAUUGGUAAAACGUAUUAGUUAGAAGUAUCUUUUGUGAACAUUUAAACACUUAAUAUAAGACUAUUUUAUUAAUGGGUAAAUACUAUUCAAGUCCUUGUACAAAAAUAUUUGAUUGAAUUUUUGUUUUUGUUAAAUAACAUUGAGAUCAUGUCUUAUACAAUGGAUGUAUCUUGGACUUGAUUUUGGUAAAAAUAAUAAGUCAAAAUACCAAAAUUUUUUAUAAAUUACUUAAUUUAAUAAAAAGAAAAAUAACUAAAAACCCUAAUUAAAAAUUUAAAAAAAUAAAGAACUCUAAACUCGUUCCCCUCUCUCUCUCCACCCCACAACCUCUCAUGGCUGAACUACCUAUGACUUCUAAAAAGCUUUCUUUUCUGUUUUCGUUUUCCUAUUUGGGUUUGAUAUGGGGAACAAAAUCGAUUAUGAUCCAACAGUGAUGCCCAACCCCAUGUCGGAAUUGAAGGAGCUUCAAAGACUCGUGAACAUCAUCGUCAAAGAUGAGGAUUAUAGCACUGAAACCAUCGAUCUCUACCUUCGCUCUAAGGUCGUCUCGGGGAGAAGUGUUUCUUCAAGCGGGAGAGAGACUAAUAGAUCUAAAAUGGGGGUGGGUGAAGUGUGGCCAACGAAGAUUUCUGGGUUUAGUGCCUGAUCUGAAAUAGGGGUAAGGGAACCACACAAGGUAUGGCACUCAAAUUGUGGUGAGUUUUUCAUACUGUGGGUGAACUAUGACAGUAGUCGAUGGUGGGGUGGGGGGAUGAAGGGAGAUAUCAAAAGAUAGAGGAGAGAGAUAGGGAGGGAGGAGAGUGAUCAGUGGAUAGAUUAGAGAUUGAGAGAAUAUAAAAAUUAAAUAAAAGUUAUUUAUUUAUUUUUUAAUUUGUAAUUAAUUAAGUUUUUAAUUUUUUUAUUUUUGAAAUAGUUUUAUAUUUUCAUUAGGGAUUUUAGUUAUUUUUCUUUUUACUUGACUAAGUAAUUUAUAAAGAAGGGUAAUUUGGUCAUAUUGAAAAUAAUUUUGACUAAAAUCAGGUCGAUGAUACUAUUUUGAUCCGUUUUGCAAAACCAAGUUCUGAAUUUUUAUUUAACAAAACAAAGGUCCCGUUGAGUAUUUUCGCAUAACCGAGAGGCCAAAAUGAUGUUUAACAUUUAUUGUAUUGUAUUUUAAAUAACAUAGAAAUGAACUUAAAAGAAAUAUUUGAUCAUUUUAUUUGAAACUUGAUUAACUUGUAUGCUUCCUUUAACCCUGUAAAUUAAAAAAAAAAAAAAAGGCUUAUUUAAAUGUUAGGAGAAAAAAAUCAUUAGUGGUGGUGGGUGUUUGGUUACAUUUGUAGCAUAAAAUUGCACUAUCCCAAAUCUAAAGAAGAAAAAUCAUAUAUACCAGCAAUAUUAUCAAUUGGAACGACCAAUUUAUUGUUUCUUACAAAACUACUUUUGUAUGCCAUAGAAAAUACCUAAUUACCCAUAACUAAACCUAACAAAAAUGUUCUUCCCUUUAUUAUUCCUCAAAUAAAAAGAUCAAAAUUAAAUAAACAAAUGGAAGAAGGUUGGAAGUUGUGGGACAAAGGUCAGUCUGUAACGACCUAAUUUACUAAUAAGGUUUAAGGGCCUUGAUUAGUGUGCCGGGAUGACAUAACUGACUUAUUUGUGAUUUAAUGAUUAAAAGCAUGUUAUAUGAUUAUUUGAAUAUCUGAGAUGCAUGACUAUGUGUAUUAAUAUGCAUGUAGGCCCUAAUUAGGUUAGAAGGGCAAAUCGUAAUUUUGGCCCGUUGAGGGCAUAACUGUAUAUAUAUAUAUGUGAUGAAUUGUUGAGACCACAUUAUUAUGUGAAUAUAUUUGUAAUCUGUGAUUCGAGGUGAUCCUAGUGAACGGUUUAGCAAAAAAGUCACGGUGGGGAUUUAUACCCAGCUCGGGGCGAGCCUGGGGGUAUUUAUGGGAAUUUAGAGAAUAAAAUUGGUGAUUGGUUAGGUGUCAGGAAGUAAGCGGUAAAUAUUAGAGACACUCGAAAAAUUAGCGGGAAUUGGGUGUAAUGACCAAAAUGCCCCUAGGUUGAUUUAAAGACUUAGAGAUAAUGGGAGGGUAUUCUGGUCAUUUGUCUUAUAAGGGAUAAGAGUUAAAUUGCUUUAUGCCUUAGUGGAAAGUCUAGAGUCUGAAGGAAGUUAAAGGAAAGAAGAAGAAAAAGAAAAAGAAAGAAGGAAAAUAGAGGCCAUAUCUUCACCCAUUCGGUUUAGGUUUUUACCUCAAUUCCUAAAGGAAUUUGAAGCUGAAACUCAAGGAGAUUCUGGGCAGGAGCUUGGGGCUAUAGUCUUUGGUCUGGCUUGAAGAAAUUAGCAAGAGCAAUCAAUCCAUUUGAGGAAGUUGAGGCUAAGGAUUUGAGGAGGAGAAGGCUAAGCAAGAGUGGGAGACAACCUAGGCUAAGCUCAUCCAGCAAAGGCCUUGGCUCACGGGUGCUACGUGGUGCAGGUAAAGGCAAAGGCAAGUUAGACCCACCCUGAGAUGGAGAGCUGCGGGAUGAAUGUACAUAGUCAGCUGUUCGGCCAUCACGGCUGAGGAGUGGAACAGGACGAGAAAUGCUUAAUUGUCUGUUUUGCCUUAGAGUGGCUAAUCACUGUAUUGAAAACUUGAAUCUUUUGUAAACAGUCUUUAACUUAUUACUCUUGGGAUCCCAUGUAAAAAGAAAAUGUUUAUUUAUAAGAAAUGAAGCUUUUGAGACCAUUCAACUAUAGUUUCAGUAACACGUUUUGAAUUAAAUGACUUGAUUAGCAAGUCUUGCACCUUUAUAAACACACAAUGUAACGGUCUUGGCUAUCCAGGGCGUUACA
Molecule: long non-coding RNA, 3514 nt
Organism: Humulus lupulus (European hop)
Lineage: Eukaryota; Viridiplantae; Streptophyta; Magnoliopsida; Rosales; Cannabaceae
Exons: 3
Source: RefSeq, a predicted model, not a curated record